CAUUCCCCUCCCCCUCCUCCUCCUCCUCCUCGUCCCCCCGUCCCCUCCCGCUGCGGCCUCUCGCCCAGGCCCGGGGUGGGGGGGGGAGAGAGUGACGUCAACGUGGCGGGAAACACAAGCACACGGACAGGGAGGGGCGGGGCAGUCGGCCUGGUCCCGCCCAUCACCCUGUGACUGACAGGUUUUUGAACAAGGAUCUAGGGCCUCCUUGGAAUAAUGGCAGAGUGGCGCAGCGGUUAGAACCUCACAGCUCCAGAGACCCCGACCUCAGGCACUGUCUGUGUGUGUUUUCCACGUUCUCCGUGACUGCAUGGGAUUUCACCACAUCCCAAAGGCGUGCCGGUUUGUAGGUUAAUUAGCCUCUGUAAAUUGUCCCUAGCGUGUCCGGAAUGGUUGUGAAAGUGGGAUAACAUACAACUAGUGUGAACGGGUGAUCGAUGGUUAGCAUGGACUUGGUGGGCUGAAAGGCCUGUUCCCGUGCUAUAUCUUUCAAUGGUUCAAAGAAGAAAGCCAAAGUUUCGUGCAUGCAAGUUUGCACUCAGGGUGCAAAAUGUCUAAGCAUAAUGUGAAAAUACAUGCAGUCACCAUCUCUGUUAGAAAUUCACUAACUUUUACUCACGAAAGGGCCAGUUAGUUGGGCAGCUUUUUACCAAUUCCCAUACUAAAUGGUAGAUUUAAACAGGAAUUAACACUAGAUGUCAUAUUGAUUUAAUAAAUUCAAAAUGCUACAACA
Amblyraja radiata (thorny skate) is the source of this 733-nucleotide long non-coding RNA. RefSeq lists it as uncharacterized. Lineage: Eukaryota; Metazoa; Chordata; Chondrichthyes; Rajiformes; Rajidae. The transcript has 2 exons. The record is from RefSeq and is a predicted model, not a curated record.